CGGUACGACAUUGCUCACAUUGCUUCCAGUAUUUUUGCCCGCACCUGUGCGGGCUUUUUUU
This 61-nucleotide non-coding RNA is filed under the name Klebsiella michiganensis. Lineage: Bacteria; Pseudomonadati; Pseudomonadota; Gammaproteobacteria; Enterobacterales; Enterobacteriaceae. The record is from RNAcentral.